AAACUUUCAACAACGGAUCUCUUGGUUCUGGCAUCGAUGAAGAACGCAGCGAAAUGCGAUAAGUAAUGUGAAUUGCAGAAUUCAGUGAACCAUCGAAUCUUUGAACGCACAUUGCGCCCCCUGGUAUUCCGGGGGGCAUGCCUGUUCGAGCGUCAUU
RNAcentral lists this ribosomal RNA (157 nucleotides) under Xanthoria ectaneoides. RNAcentral describes it as "5.8S ribosomal RNA". It matches the Rfam family "5.8S ribosomal RNA". From Rfam's summary of the family: 5.8S ribosomal RNA (5.8S rRNA) is a component of the large subunit of the eukaryotic ribosome. It is transcribed by RNA polymerase I as part of the 45S precursor that also contains 18S and 28S rRNA. RNAcentral also lists the same sequence under 1 other name. Lineage: Eukaryota; Fungi; Ascomycota; Lecanoromycetes; Teloschistales; Teloschistaceae. The record is from RNAcentral.